UACGUAGGGUCCGAGCGUUGUCCGGAAUUACUGGGCGUAAAGAGCUCGUAGGUGGUUUGUCGCGUUGUUCGUGAAAACUCACAGCUCAACUGUGGGCGUGCGGGCGAUACGGGCAGACUAGAGUACUGCAGGGGAGACUGGAAUUCCUGGUGUAGCGGUGGAAUGCGCAGAUAUCAGGAGGAACACCGGUGGCGAAGGCGGGUCUCUGGGCAGUAACUGACGCUGAGGCGCGACAGCGUGGGGAGCAAACAGG
RNAcentral lists this ribosomal RNA (253 nucleotides) under uncultured bacterium. Its description in RNAcentral is "partial 16S ribosomal RNA". It matches the Rfam family "Bacterial small subunit ribosomal RNA", at positions 524 to 776 of the family's 1533-position model. The record is from RNAcentral.